Molecule: long non-coding RNA, 1310 nt
Organism: Oncorhynchus tshawytscha (Chinook salmon)
Lineage: Eukaryota; Metazoa; Chordata; Actinopteri; Salmoniformes; Salmonidae
Source: Ensembl
AGUGAAGCAGAGACAAGUCUGUCUUUGUGGAAUUCAGCUAGGACUACAUUGAUUCGCCAAAAGUCAAUACUUGUAAAAACAAUAUACUGUAUAUAUAAUGAAAUGCUUACCUUGUACCUAUGUUCGUCCUCAGUAGUUGCGUGCCUUUCUUUGUUUGCUGAAAUCCAUACUUUUUCAAUAAACCUUAAUCAAAUACAACCACCUGCUGUUUCCUUAAGAUUCAAUUGGCACAUGCUCAUUUUCACUGAGUUGCCAUCUUAGAGCAACAGCAAUGAGCAAACAGUCAGUGGUUGUAUUUGAUUAACAUUUAUUGAAAAUGUAUGGAUUUCAUCAAAUAAAGGCACGCAACUACAGAGGACAAACACAGGUACAAGGAACAAUGAGACGACACAUGACUCGAUACGCCGUUACGCAGGAAAAAUUGUGGACUACAUUGCCCAGUCAACCACUGCUUUCUCUCAGGAAGAUGUUUCCGGUAUAGGCCUACAUAACAUCUUGGGGAAGACUGUAGAGGGCCUUCUCCAAAAAGUGUGCGGAGGGGUCUCAAGCAUCCUGAACAAGUAUUUGUAUGGGGCGGGGGUGUUGUCUGAUGCGGUGAUCCCAGUAAAUCUCUUGCCUGUGGCUUCAAAUGGAGACAAUCGGAAAAUGGAAAAAAGAUGGCAGGACUGCACUGAGGAAGACUGUGAACUGAUAAUUAUCCGACUGACAGGGACUGUAAUUAUCACCAUGUUGGAUAGUGUUAUGGAGAGUUGCAGGACGGACCCCACACACAGUUCAUUCUUAGAAGAACUGGGGCUCACCAUGGAAAUGGUAACGAUCAUACGUGAAGUAGCAGAAUGUGCAGCAAACGCCACAAGUAAUGAUUUCAGUCAGUUCACAGUUGGAGGAGUUCCUCUCUUUCAGAGACCACUGAGCAAUCUUUCCUCUGGGCCGAGUCAACCAGCACCCCCCCAAAAUGCCUUGCCAACAUCCACUGUUCCCACACCUGUCUCAAAGGUGAGCUCAGCCAGUCCCAGAUCCACUGACUCAGGGUCCUCACAAGUCAGGAAGCCAAGACAAUCAACAGAAGGAGUUAAGAGACUCUCCGAAAGGCAGCAGAAUCCAGGGGAGGAGAUCACAUCUCUAGUGAUUGAAACCAUUCUACGGUCAGUUGCGGAUUUAGCCAGGCAUGGACUUCUGCCAAGCUGCACCCAGUAGACUGGAUGCCACCUUUUUAUGGAGGUGAUGCAGAAAACAAACAUGUGAAGCCAAUUCAUAAAAGCAUUAAUUAAACAAAUAUGUUGUUAAAAGGUGAGUCAGCAGUUUCUUUC